GGACGAACGCUGGCGGCGUGCUUAACACAUGCAAGUCGAACGAUGAUCUCCCAGCUUGCUGGGGGGGAUUAGUGGCGAACGGGUGAGUAACACGUGAGUAACCUGCCCUGGACUCUGGGAUAACCCCGAGAAAUCGGAGCUAAUACCGGAUAGGACCCUGUGCCGCAUGGUGUGGGGUGGAAAGUUUUUUCGGUUUGGGAUGGACUCGCGGCCUAUCAGCUUGUUGGUGAGGUAAUGGCUCACCAAGGCGUCGACGGGUAGCCGGCCUGAGAGGGUGACCGGCCACACUGGGACUGAGACACGGCCCAGACUCCUACGGGAGGCAGCAGUGGGGAAUAUUGCACAAUGGGCGCAAGCCUGAUGCAGCAACGCCGCGUGCGGGAUGACGGCCUUCGGGUUGUAAACCGCUUUUAGUAAGGAAGAAGGGGAGCUUGCUCCUUGACGGUACUUGCAGAAAAAGGACCGGCUAACUACGU
This 476-nucleotide ribosomal RNA is filed under the name Agromyces sp. 'ARUP UnID 114'. RNAcentral describes it as "bacterial SSU rRNA". It matches the Rfam family "Bacterial small subunit ribosomal RNA", at positions 27 to 506 of the family's 1533-position model. The record is from RNAcentral. Lineage: Bacteria; Bacillati; Actinomycetota; Actinomycetes; Micrococcales; Microbacteriaceae.